UCUUCUAUUCUGUUCCAGUUUGUAGUAGAUGGUGCAUGGCAAGUAGUUGCUGGGGAAGAAAGCGAAGAAUUGGAAGUUUCAAAAUCAGCGGGAAAUGACUGCGCGUGAAGCUAUUUAUCCACAUACUUCUCCUAUCCCCCAAAGUUCAAUUCUUCUCUCUUUUUUACAAGUUUCUAUUUCGUUUUCUCUUGAUGUUUUUUGACCUAUACGUUAUCAUUUAUCCUUGUGUAUCAGUGAGUGCAGAAACACAUUUCUGAAUGACCAUAGCAUUCCUCUGAUUCAGAUCACUCCUUUUGAAGACGAGGGUGCAGGGCUGGCUUCAUCAUCAGUCAACUCCAUGGAAUCAAACCGGUUUCAAUUAUCCACAAGUCCAGCGAUUGGCACCGUGGCAUCUUCCUCGUCUCAGGGCAGUGCCACCACCAACCCUCAUGCUCAAAACAAUUUAAAUGACCGCAACUGGCUUGUAAAAUUUUAAGUGAUAAAAAAAAAAAAAAAAAAAUGAUCGAGCAACUCACCAUGAACCAUGGAGCAGCAUACAUUGCAUAGAAUCUGCCCUCCUCCAGUUUGCAGAAUAUUCCCUCAUCCGGCUUGCAGAAUAUACCAUCCUUGAGCAUGCAGAGUAUGUCAUCGUUCAGCCUGUAUAGUUUGCCAUCAAACGGUCCCCAAAAGUAUGCCACUUUUGAGGUCUUAGGCUAAAAAUUUAUAUGAUCUGCUUCCAAUCAUUGUCUGUAAAGGAGAUCCACCUUCUGCUACACCAACCCAACCUUUCUAUCAUCCUCGGAGUUUCAUGAGACCCAUUCCCAAUCUCCGGCCAUCUAUAGCCAAUGUUUUAUCAGACACACCCUCACCAUCCUUCGGAGCUCCUAUAACAAAGGAUGUAAACUAUUACAAGAGCCUGAUACAGCAGCAUGGAGGAGAAAGAUAAGAAACUUUACCCCAUUUUGGUAGUCAAAAAUUCAAGAACCUACAAAUACUGCGAAACUGAAAGAUGAGAAAUCAAACAUGAGGCCAUACAUCUUCUUCAAGAGUCCAAUGGGUAGCAAAAAUGGAGUGAAAGUGUGCAUUUCUGCAUGAUACAUAGUCGUCCAAGCAGAGGGUCAGUUACAUGAUUUGUAAUUACCAUAUUUAUUGCAGGCAUUGUUUUAUCCAACCUUUUCCUUCAUGUUCGUGUUGACUCCUAUCUUGAUAUUAUGCAGAG
RNAcentral lists this long non-coding RNA (1198 nucleotides) under Olea europaea subsp. europaea. The record is from RNAcentral. Lineage: Eukaryota; Viridiplantae; Streptophyta; Magnoliopsida; Lamiales; Oleaceae.